AGUAGAUGAUGACCUAGAGAGAUUAGCCUUCUUCUCCGCCAACCACUCAUAGAAAGCGGCUAGUUGCUGCUGAUGCU
RNAcentral lists this unclassified non-coding RNA (77 nucleotides) under Arabidopsis thaliana (thale cress). RNAcentral's name for it is "box C/D small nucleolar RNA R26". Lineage: Eukaryota; Viridiplantae; Streptophyta; Magnoliopsida; Brassicales; Brassicaceae. The record is from RNAcentral.